RNAcentral lists this ribosomal RNA (497 nucleotides) under uncultured bacterium. RNAcentral describes it as "partial 16S ribosomal RNA". It matches the Rfam family "Bacterial small subunit ribosomal RNA", at positions 28 to 507 of the family's 1533-position model. The record is from RNAcentral.
GAUGAACGCUGGCGGCGUGCCUAAUACAUGCAAGUCGAGCGAACAGACGAGGAGCUUGCUCCUCUGACGUUAGCGGCGGACGGGUGAGUAACACGUGGAUAACCUACCUAUAAGACUGGGAUAACUUCGGGAAACCGGAGCUAAUACCGGAUAAUAUAUUGAACCGCAUGGUUCAAUAGUGAAAGACGGUUUUGCUGUCACUUAUAGAUGGAUCCGCGCCGCAUUAGCUAGUUGGUAAGGUAACGGCUUACCAAGGCAACGAUGCGUAGCCGACCUUAGAGGGUGAUCGGCCACACUGGAACUGAGACACGGUCCAGACUCCUACGGGAGGCAGCAGUAGGGAAUCUUCCGCAAUGGGCGAAAGCCUGACGGAGCAACGCCGCGUGAGUGAUGAAGGUCUUCGGAUCGUAAAACUCUGUUAUUAGGGAAGAACAAAUGUGUAAGUAACUAUGCACGUCUUGACGGUACCUAAUCAGAAAGCCACGGCUAACUACGUG